This 67-nucleotide transfer RNA is filed under the name Protohermes tonkinensis. RNAcentral describes it as "tRNA-Asp". Lineage: Eukaryota; Metazoa; Arthropoda; Insecta; Megaloptera; Corydalidae. The record is from RNAcentral.
AAAGAAUUAGUUAAAUUAACCUUAGUAUGUCAAACUAAAAUUAUUAGUAAAAAUCUAAUAUUCUUUG